AUAACGACUCUCGGCAACGGAUAUCUCGGCUCUCGCAUCGAUGAAGAACGUAGCGAAAUGCGAUACUUGGUGUGAAUUGCAGAAUCCCGCGAAUCAUCGAGUCUUUGAACGCAAGUUGCGCCCGAAGCCAUUCGGCCGAGGGCACGUCUGCCUGGGUGUCACGC
Molecule: ribosomal RNA, 164 nt
Filed under: Carya glabra (pignut hickory)
Lineage: Eukaryota; Viridiplantae; Streptophyta; Magnoliopsida; Fagales; Juglandaceae
Also listed under: 14 other names
Description: 5.8S ribosomal RNA
Rfam family: 5.8S ribosomal RNA
About the family: 5.8S ribosomal RNA (5.8S rRNA) is a component of the large subunit of the eukaryotic ribosome. It is transcribed by RNA polymerase I as part of the 45S precursor that also contains 18S and 28S rRNA. Functionally, it is thought that 5.8S rRNA may be involved in ribosome translocation.
Source: RNAcentral